CAGGAGGCGGCGCAUACGGGGCACAGGAGCGGCUGGUGGGGCUGUGUCCAGAUCGCGCGGGGCGUCGAGCUCAGAGUCCGAUGCUCGGCGCGGGCACGCGUAGGUGUGCGCACGGUGGCGAAGUCCCAGCCCGGCGUUGCCGGGGUGGCCGAGGAAGAGCGACUCCUUCCGGCGCGUGUGCGGGCUCUCGAGCAGCGCGCAGAAGCCGUAAACGGUGCGCGCGCGGGGCAGGUGCGGCAGCGAGAGCGCAGCCUGGGAGCGCGGGUCCCAGUCGGUAAGGCCCGCGCAGUCGUCGUCACUGUCCUCACGGUCGUCAGGGAUGCGCGGCCACAGGUCCGGUUCGGCUGCGCAGCGCCAAGGCAGUGCGGCAGCGGCAAGCGGUGAUUCGAGAGCGCCGGGGACCUGCAGCCGCGGGGGGAUGCAGAACUCUGGUAUUCGGCCCGGGGUGAGCACGUUGGAGAAGGCAGGCUCAGGAGUGGAGGAGCGGAGUCGACCGAGAAGCCUCAUCCUUCUAGCUUAUGUCCGAGAGUGGCGGAUACACGAGCGUCUGCAACACAGAGAAAAACUGUUGAAUUUGGGCUCCUGAAGUCCAGUGGAUCCUUUCUUUGACCCUCUGAAAGCACCCACAAAUCUAGGGCUUCUAGUCAGCACGAAUCAACCUUUGGAGCACCCUCAUGUUAACUAAAACUAUAUAUAUGAAUAUAUAGAAAUCAGACCUUUUCUUCUUCAGUCUCGUUGGGUCGGAUUAGUCGCAGGAACAAAGCAGGUGACGUGUAGCUCACAGGUAGGGCUCCACCUUCAGCACUGCAGCUGUGACAGUGGCGCUCCGGCCUUUUACCUUAGCGGGAGUCACGCCCAGGUGCCAAGAGGCCAAUCCGAAGAGGUAGCAGACAGAGCCCGCCUUUCAGCCGUCCCUUCCCACUAAAUCUUCCGUUGCUCGCUGUAAAGGUGUCUCAGGAGCUGGCUCUGGGACUUACUUUGGCUGUCCCUUAGCUGGAGCGCCAUUUACAGGUGCAGCAGAUGAGUAAAGGGCAUCCCGUCACCAUGCGAAAGAGAAUUUGGUAGUUCAAAGUGUUUGUGGCCUCUCAGAGAAGGAUGCAUACCUGUUUCCAAGUACAGACUAAACUUGGCAUGUCCGUUUAGGAUGGGGUUAUGUGCAAAACGUUUUUGCGAAAUUGAAAACGCAUUAGUCAGCCCACGUUUAACAUAUCCAGACGGCUUGGAUUCGACACUGGACUAAAAGGUUGGAGUAGUUCUGCAUUCACUUUAAUUCAAAAAUCGUAGAUCCUAAGUCCCAGGGUAGCACCUUAUUUAGCCUCUGUCUCCCUCUGCUGGAUUAGCCUCUGUCUCCCUCUGCUGGACUGUCCUUGAUAUCACCGUGGUCUGGGCUACCAGGUGCCCUAAGUACUGGUGACUUGGGUAAAUAAAUAAAGUGCAAAAUCUU
RNAcentral lists this long non-coding RNA (1444 nucleotides) under Mus pahari (shrew mouse). RNAcentral's name for it is "lncRNA (MGP_PahariEiJ_G0004272.1)". The record is from RNAcentral. Lineage: Eukaryota; Metazoa; Chordata; Mammalia; Rodentia; Muridae.